GAUGAACGCUGGCGGCGUGCCUAAUACAUGCAAGUAGAACGCUGAAGGAAGGAGCUUGCUCUUUCCGGAUGAGUUGCGAACGGGUGAGUAACGCGUAGGUAACCUGCCUGGUAGCGGGGGAUAACUAUUGGAAACGAUAGCUAAUACCGCAUAACAGUAGAUAUUGCAUGAUAUCUGCUUGAAAGGGGCAAUUGCUCCACUACCAGAUGGACCUGCGUUGUAUUAGCUAGUUGGUGAGGUAACGGCUCACCAAGGCGACGAUACAUAGCCGACCUGAGAGGGUGAUCGGCCACACUGGGACUGAGACACGGCCCAGACUCCUACGGGAGGCAGCAGUAGGGAAUCUUCGGCAAUGGACGGAAGUCUGACCGAGCAACGCCGCGUGAGUGAAGAAGGUUUUCGGAUCGUAAAGCUCUGUUGUAAGAGAAGAACGAGUGUGAGAGUGGAAAGUUCACACUGGGACGGUAUCUACCA
RNAcentral lists this ribosomal RNA (474 nucleotides) under Streptococcus australis. RNAcentral's name for it is "bacterial SSU rRNA". It matches the Rfam family "Bacterial small subunit ribosomal RNA", at positions 28 to 485 of the family's 1533-position model. Lineage: Bacteria; Bacillati; Bacillota; Bacilli; Lactobacillales; Streptococcaceae. The record is from RNAcentral.